CGGGGGGAGCAAGCGUUGUUCGGAUUUACUGGGCGUAAAGGGCGCGUAGGCGGCGCAACAAGUCACUUGUGAAAUCUCCGGGCUUAACUCGGAGCGGCCAAGUGAUACUGUCGUGCUAGAGUGCGGAAGGGGCAACUGGAAUUCUCGGUGUAGCGGUGAAAUGCGUAGAUAUCGAGAGGAACGCCUGCGGCGAAGGCGGGUUGCUGGGCCGACACUGACGCUGAGGCGCGAAAGCCAGGGGAGCGAACGGGAUUAGAUACCCCGGUAGUCCUGGCCUUAAACGAUGGAUGCUUGGUGUCCGGGGUUACAUAGUCCCCGGGUGCCGUCGCUAACGCCUUAAGCAUCCCGCCUGGGGAGUACGCACGCAAGUGUG
RNAcentral lists this ribosomal RNA (373 nucleotides) under uncultured organism. Its description in RNAcentral is "bacterial SSU rRNA". It matches the Rfam family "Bacterial small subunit ribosomal RNA", at positions 526 to 896 of the family's 1533-position model. The record is from RNAcentral.